This 2509-nucleotide long non-coding RNA is filed under the name Hordeum vulgare. RNAcentral's name for it is "long non-coding RNA (HVUL_LNC016015)". The record is from RNAcentral. Lineage: Eukaryota; Viridiplantae; Streptophyta; Magnoliopsida; Poales; Poaceae.
AUGCUACCUGCACUCAUCAAAUCAAUCAUUAGUGAUAAAAUAUCUUGUCUAUAUGCAUGCUAUGCACAAACAAAUGCAACAAACAAGUGCAACGAUCCAACUAGAUCCUAUACUACCGGUUACUCACGCUCACGCGGUCUAGGACGUCCUACAGCCAGACCUCCUCUGAUACCAACACUUGUGGCACCCCCACUCAGAGGAAACCGAAACACCCCGUAUUCUAGCCCAGGGACAAGUCUUCUGGAAUACGGCACCGUUGGCAUAGAACAAAUCAGCUCUUUAUUACUAUGGAAAAGGUUACAAGGGUACAUGGAUUACAACGAUACUGCACCUGCCUACGGUAAAAUUCUACGCUAGCAGCGAAACAACGACCGUUGUGAUGAACUCCACUCCACAGGGACUCUGGCUGGAACGUGUAUCCUAGCUCGCAACUCAGGAUCCUUGACAAGCAAGCAAUCAUGGCAUGACCUGUAAACUGGCAUGACACGCCAGGUGAGUACUUUGAAUGUACUCGCAAGCUCACAACAAACAUCAACAUGAAGACAAGACAACAUCAUAGCAAUCAAGAUUAGGUAAAGAUUUAUCUUCGUCGAAGGGAUAGUUGAAACUAACUAUACCAGGCUUCUCUCACUGUACUCUAGUGACCAACUCGUGAUCUCGCCAGGAACCUUCAGCGAAUAUCCUCAAGACGGACAUCAAAACUUGUCACCGGCAUGAUGCCCAACUGCUACCAUACUCAAACGAGUUCUUCCAUCAUUAUCAUCACUAUCAUGGUUAUGGUUGACCACCUACUGAGGUCUGGACGGGCUGUCCAAUACCAUGGACGCGGCUAUUCGAAUAGAUUUUUCACUCUGCAGAGGUUGCGCACUUUACUCACAUCAUGGAGCACUGACCUCGUGAUCCCAUUCGGGUGGAUCAAUAUUGCUCCAAUGAAACCUGCCUGACCCGUAACUCUCCCAUCAUACCACAUGCAUUCAUCCUCCCUUAGAGUCCUACCCUGGGUGGCCCAUGUGUCCUCAUUACACCUGCCACCGUCGUGGCCAAACUAAACUGUCCCAAACGGGGACGGGCCCAAACAACUCAACUGGGCUCACAAGGUUAUCGCCGCCUACAUGGCCAGGGCAGCACGCGUGCAUAAACUUCCCUCUUUGGUGGUACCGAUAAAAGAACACGGGAUCAGACCAAGUCAAGGCCGUCCCAUACCGGCAAAUGUGGCUGCACUAAUAAGCCCAGACAGGUGACUGUCGAUUAACCAACUAAGUAUCCUAUCCCUGAAUAAUAUUUCUUUCAUGGUUGACACUCCGAUAUCAUAGUAAUUGAAUAACCAAUAAGCUCAGGCCACUGCUAUUGAUUCAUAUGCACAAACUGCCAGAUGAAACCCAAAAUAAUCAUAGAUAGUAAUCUCCAACAUCAUGGCAUCGACUAGUGGAUAAAAUACUAGUUGCUAACAAUCCCACACUCAACAUAGUAGUCCCCUAUUCAAGAAUUUAUUCAAACGUUGCAUAAUCUAAUCCAAACUACAAAUAAUUAUAAUUGCGGUUAAAGUAAUAGGUUAAACUAUGAUAUUGCAAUGCAAUUAUGCAAAUGAGGGUUGUGGCUUGCCUGGGGGUGAAGGAACCAUCGGGAAGAAGUGCGGAGAGUCCGCGAAAUUGACUGCCGGAAACAGUUCUCUCUCGGAGGGGGCUGAUUACAGGCAAGGUCAAAAUGGUCAUUUCCACUAUGUGAACACAUAGUUAAAAUGAUACCAACAUGACGGGCUCAACGCUAUGAAGACAUGGGCUUUGGAAUCAACUCGAUCGGAGUUACGGUCGUAAAGUUGUGGUCGUUCACUUUUUAGGUAGAAAAAUGCCCUAACGAGCGGACGUUCACUAAAUAGUCCUUUCGGCCAGCGGCUGAAAAAAUGAAAGCGCCUUUUCCGAAAUUCGUAUUCGGUAAACCGAAAACGCAUUUCAUGAAAUGCGCCUCCACUUUAACUGACGCACGGGCCUGUUGACUUCAUUAGUCCAGCUGACGGGUGGGACCUACCCCAUCCCCUCUCUCUCCUCGCUCUUCUUCCCGCUUGCGAUAAGAGACAGACGAGGAGCGGGGGCGCUCAGCCGGCGAUGGCCCGGUCGGCUUCGUCCACCUCCGGCCUUGGCGAGACCACCAGCAGGACCAAGACGAGGCGCCUCGUCCGCCUGGACCUGCUACUAGCGCCGGGGAGUAGCAGGACGACUGUACCGUGCGAUGGCCACGAGCAGAGGCGGCGGUCGAGCAGUGGAGCCGCGGCCAUGCCUACUCCGGCGUCGAGCAAAGAGGACGGGGAGGUGCACCAGGAGAGGGGGGUUCUACUGCGAGUAAAAUGGAGAGGAGAAGAGUGCUGCCUUGGCCUAAUUUUGACGGAGGAGGCCGGCGACCAUGGCGACAAUGGAGGACGAGGAGGGCUUCGGGAGCUUGGGUGAUGGGCUGGGGAGGACCAAGGGGAAGUGGCGAGGUUGGCGGUGACGAUGAGAGGGUCUCGGGGCAAGCC